RNAcentral lists this transfer RNA (84 nucleotides) under Actinomycetota bacterium. RNAcentral's name for it is "tRNA-Leu". It matches the Rfam family "tRNA". From Rfam's summary of the family: Transfer RNA (tRNA) molecules are approximately 80 nucleotides in length. Their secondary structure includes four short double-helical elements and three loops (D, anti-codon, and T loops). Further hydrogen bonds mediate the characteristic L-shaped molecular structure. tRNAs have two regions of fundamental functional importance: the anti-codon, which is responsible for specific mRNA codon recognition, and the 3' end, to which the tRNAs corresponding amino acid is attached (by aminoacyl-tRNA synthetases). tRNAs cope with the degeneracy of the genetic code in two manners: having more than one tRNA (with a specific anti-codon) for a particular amino acid; and 'wobble' base-pairing, i.e. permitting non-standard base-pairing at the 3rd anti-codon position. Lineage: Bacteria; Bacillati; Actinomycetota. The record is from RNAcentral.
GGGGGCGUGGCGGAAUCGGCAGACGCACCGGACUUAAAAUCCGGGUCCUGAGAGGGAGUGUGGGUUCGAGUCCCACCGCCCCUA